RNAcentral lists this ribosomal RNA (497 nucleotides) under uncultured bacterium. RNAcentral's name for it is "partial 16S ribosomal RNA". It matches the Rfam family "Bacterial small subunit ribosomal RNA", at positions 28 to 507 of the family's 1533-position model. The record is from RNAcentral.
GAUGAACGCUGGCGGCGUGCCUAAUACAUGCAAGUCGAGCGAACAGACGAGGAGCUUGCUCCUCUGACGUUAGCGGCGGACGGGUGAGUAACACGUGGAUAACCUACCUCUAAGUCUGGGAUAACUUCGGGAAACCGGAGCUAAUACCGGAUAAUAUAUUGAACCGCAUGGUUCAAUAGUGAAAGACGGUUUUGCUGUCACUUAUAGAUGGAUCCGCGCCGCAUUAGCUAGUUGGUAAGGUAACGGCUUACCAAGGCAACGAUGCGUAGCCGACCUGAGAGGGUGAUCGGCCACACUGGAACUGAGACACGGUCCAGACUCCUACGGGAGGCAGCAGUGGGGAAUCUUCCGCAAUGGGCGAAAGCCUGACGGAGCAACGCCGCGUGGGUGAUGAAGGUCUUCGGAUCGUAAAACUCUGUUAUUAGGGAAGAACAAAUGUGGAAGUAACUAUGCACGUCUUGACGGUACCUAAUCAGAAAGCCACGGCUAACUACGUG